UGGGGAAUCUUGCGCAAUGGACGAAAGUCUGACGCAGCCACGCCGCGUGAGUGAAGAAGGCCUUUGGGUUGUAAAGCUCUGUCGAACGGGACGAAAAGCUCCCAGGUGAAUAGCCUGAGAGUCUGACGGUACCGUGAGAGGAAGCACCGGCUAACUCUGUGCCAGCAGCCGCGGUAAUACAGAGGGUGCAAGCGUUGCUCGGAAUUAUUGGGCGUAAAGGGUAGGUAGGUGGUCUUAUUUGUCUGAGGUGAAAGCCUUGAGCUUAACUCAAGAAGUGCCUCAGAAACGGUAGGACUAGAGUCCUGGAGAGGGUCGUGGAAUUCCCGGUGUAGCGGUGAAAUGCGUAGAGAUCGGGAGGAACACCAGAGGCGAAGGCGGCGACCUGGACAGGUACUGACACUCAACUACGAAAGCGUGGGGAGCAAACAGGAUUAGAUACCCCCGUAGUCC
RNAcentral lists this ribosomal RNA (450 nucleotides) under uncultured bacterium. Its description in RNAcentral is "bacterial SSU rRNA". It matches the Rfam family "Bacterial small subunit ribosomal RNA", at positions 355 to 796 of the family's 1533-position model. The record is from RNAcentral.